Molecule: small nucleolar RNA, 130 nt
Organism: Pogona vitticeps (central bearded dragon)
Lineage: Eukaryota; Metazoa; Chordata; Lepidosauria; Squamata; Agamidae
Source: Ensembl
AGGUCCAUUCAAAGAGUGCUGUGUGUUGUUCAACAAGCAGUUCUUAACGCUGUGACCUAAUAGGGAGAUCCUCUGCAGGAUAUCAAGAGUACUUGAUGUGUGCUCUGUGGUCUAUACCAGAGGAGACAUG